Unclassified non-coding RNA from Fukomys damarensis (Damara mole-rat), 334 nucleotides. Its record names the gene 7SK. It matches the Rfam family "7SK RNA". From Rfam's summary of the family: 7SK was discovered as an abundant small nuclear RNA in the mid-70s but a possible function has only recently been suggested. NCBI's taxonomy places the organism in Eukaryota, Metazoa, Chordata, Mammalia, Rodentia, Bathyergidae. The record is from Ensembl.
GGAUGUGAGGGUGAUCUGGCUGUGAUAUCUGUCACCCCAUUGAUCGCCAGGGGUGAUUUGGCUGAUCUGGCUGGCCAGGCAGGUGUCCCCUUCCUCCCUGACCAUUCCACAUGUGUCCCCCCAAAGCUGUGUGCUCAGCAGCAGAGGACGACCACCCUUGAUAGAGGAGGACCACUCCUCGGUCAAGGUAUAUGAGUAGCUGUGCUCCUCUGCUAGAACCUCCAAACAAGCUCUCAAAAUAAUAUCUGGCAUCUUCUUGACAUUCCAGAGACAUAUUUGAAAUAUGCGAUGCCAAAAGAAGCUAAAAAUGGUGGAGGAAAUUACAGAAGUGUUU